This 442-nucleotide ribosomal RNA is filed under the name uncultured bacterium. RNAcentral describes it as "partial 16S ribosomal RNA". It matches the Rfam family "Bacterial small subunit ribosomal RNA", at positions 339 to 795 of the family's 1533-position model. The record is from RNAcentral.
CUACGGGGGGCUGCAGUCAAGAAUCUUCCUCAAUGGGCGAAAGCCUGAAGGAGCGACACCGCGUGCAUGAAGAAGCCUUUCGGGGUGUAAAGUGCUUUUAUAUGUGACGAAACAAUGACGGUAGCAUAUGAAUAAGGGGCUGCUAACCUCGUGCCAGCAGCAGCGGUAAUACGAGGGCCCCAAGCGUUAUCCGGAUUUAUUGGGCGUAAAGCGUCCGUAGGCGGUUUAUCGCAUCUCCUGUUAAAUCUCGAGGCUCAACCUCGAGCCAGCGGGAGAGAUGGACAAACUAGAGAUCGGAAGAGGCAAACGGAAUUGCUGGUGUAGGGGUUAACUCCAUUAAUAUCAGCAAGAACACCAAAUGCGAAGGCAGUUUGCUAGGACGAAUCUGACACUCAGUGGACGAAAGCGUGGGGAGCGAAUGGGAUUAGAUACCCUGGUAGUC